RNAcentral lists this ribosomal RNA (105 nucleotides) under Ucides cordatus. RNAcentral's name for it is "partial 12S ribosomal RNA". Lineage: Eukaryota; Metazoa; Arthropoda; Malacostraca; Decapoda; Ocypodidae. The record is from RNAcentral.
UUUUCGAAUAUCUCCGGUAGGUAUAAAACCUAUUCUACUACUCGCAAUAACCUUCAUGCAAUUUUAACAGUAACAUAAAAAAAUUAAGCCAAAAUCAAACAUUUA